AUUGAACGCUGGCGGCAGGCCUAACACAUGCAAGUCGAACGGUAACAGGAAGCAGCUUGCUGCUUCGCUGACGAGUGGCGGACGGGUGAGUAAUGUCUGUGAAGCUGCCUGAUGGAGGGGGAUAACUACUGGAAACGGUAGCUAAUACCGCAUAAUGUCGCAAGACCAAAGAGGGGGAGCUUCGGGCCUCUUGCCAUCGGCUAUGCCCAGAUGGGAUUAGCUUGUUGGUGGGGUAACGGCGCACCAAGGCGACGAUCCCUAGCUGGUCUGAGAGGAUGAUCAGCCACACUGGGACUGAGACACGGUCCAGACUCCUACGGGAGGCAGCAGUGGGGAAUAUUGCACAAUGGGCGCAAGCCUGAUGCAGCCAUGCCGCGUGUAUGAAGAAGGCCUUCGGGUUGUAAAGUACUUUCAGCGGGGAGGAAGGGAGUAAAGUUAAUACCUUGGCUCAUUGACGUUACCCGCAGAAGAAGCACCGGCUAACUCCGUG
This 490-nucleotide ribosomal RNA is filed under the name uncultured bacterium. RNAcentral's name for it is "partial 16S ribosomal RNA". It matches the Rfam family "Bacterial small subunit ribosomal RNA", at positions 30 to 507 of the family's 1533-position model. The record is from RNAcentral.